AAGGUCCCCAGGACGGUGAGGUGAGAGGUUCAACGGUCCAGACUUCGAGGGGGACAAUCUGGCAACAUGCAUCUGAAACCUUAAAGUGUACAUAUAGCCUUUGACUCUGCAAUAUCACUUACAUGAAUUUCUACUAAGGAAAUUGUUAAGGAUAUGUCCCAGUAAUCAUCCUCCAGGUGGUUGAUGGACAACCCUGUUGAAGAUUUCAAAAAUCAGAAAGGAGCUGUGUGUUAAACAAUAAAAGUUGUGUUAAAAGAUUGUCCGUCUAGUAAAUAAAGUAUUAUCC
This 286-nucleotide long non-coding RNA is filed under the name Homo sapiens (human). RNAcentral's name for it is "HSALNT0223720". The record is from RNAcentral. Lineage: Eukaryota; Metazoa; Chordata; Mammalia; Primates; Hominidae.